UUUGGCCAGAAAGGAAGCAGGAAGUAGGUGUUGGUUGGAGCACAGUAUUUGGGGGCCAGGUCUUAUCAGGCCAGAGAGAUGAUUCCCAAGAAGAAGAAAUAAAAUAAAAUAAAAAGAAAAUCUGGUUAUUUCUGAAAUGGAAAUGAAUCACGAGGAAAGGAAGAUGGUCAGAAGUUUCCCUUGGCCCGACUAUAUUAAUUGCUAGGAGAACUCACCUGGGUUAUUGCCAUAAUAAUUAUGAAGCAUUUUGCAAGUGUCACAAUAAAGGAGGAAAUGUCUGUUUAAUUUGAACUUAGCAGGGUUUUUAUCUCUUCAUCAUUGAUUUAAUAUAUUAUUGUGGUCCAUCGUACAGCCAGCCAGAUGUUUGGACAAGAUUUGGCAUUCACCUAUCAAGUCCUUCCCAAGGACCUGGGUACUGUAGAUAGAUGGUGUUGGAGGAUAUAAGUUGC
This is a long non-coding RNA of Pantherophis guttatus, 449 nucleotides long. RefSeq lists it as uncharacterized. NCBI's taxonomy places the organism in Eukaryota, Metazoa, Chordata, Lepidosauria, Squamata, Colubridae. The record is from RefSeq and is a predicted model, not a curated record.